This 253-nucleotide ribosomal RNA is filed under the name uncultured bacterium. RNAcentral describes it as "partial 16S ribosomal RNA". It matches the Rfam family "Bacterial small subunit ribosomal RNA", at positions 524 to 776 of the family's 1533-position model. The record is from RNAcentral.
UACGAAGGGGGCUAGCGUUGUUCGGAAUUACUGGGCGUAAAGGGCGCGUAGGCGGUACUUCAAGUCAGGCGUGAAAGCCCGGGGCUCAACCUGGGAACCGCGCUUGAGACUGGAGAACUAGAGUUCGGGAGAGGAUGGUGGAAUUCCCAGUGUAGAGGUGAAAUUCGUAGAUAUUGGGAAGAACACCGAUGGCGAAGGCAGCCAUCUGGACCGACACUGACGCUGAGGCGCGAAAGCGUGGGGAGCAAACAGG